UCAGGAAAAUCACGCCCUAUUUAGGAACCAAAAGAAAGCUCCUAAUAAUGGCUGCACCCUGAAGAGCAGCGCUAGAGGUACUCGGUCCUAAGGACGGGGAAAAAAAGGAGAAUCCAAAGUUUAGAGGUUAAAAUUAGACACAAAUGAAAAGGCCUUCUCCACCUACGAGUCACGCAGAUAAUAAGGCCGUCUCCUGAGAAAAGAAUUCCAUCUAUUUCCUCAUUCUUCUCCGGUGAAGUUGCUUUCCUACUGACAUUAGCAAACAAAAUAAAUACAAUUUAUCUUUUAUGCUUGUCCCGGCAUCUGAUAGAACACCUGGCACUUCCUAGAUUCUCUAUCAGUGCUUUUGCUUUGAGUAGAUGGAGAUUUGAUUCAGUUUUAUUUGAUACAUGUAAGAGUGGCCUGCUGAGUACAUCAGAAAGAAGACUGUGAGUCCUGAACAGACAGCAGAAUCUCACAGCCCAAACUCCACAUGCCAUUCAUGUAACCGCGUAGCACUGCAGCUCUGCUGUUGAGGUUUGCACUGCCCACUCCAGUAGCCACUAGGCACCUCAAGCCACUGAGCACAUGAAAUGAGGCCCGUCUGAACCGAGGUAUGUAGCAGGCAUAAAAUACACCCUGGAUUUCAAAGACUUGGUACCAAAGAAGAAGGCAUCGUUCCCCAAAACACUCCCUAAUGCAGCUCCUGUGUGAUGAGUCUGCUUCCCAGGAAACUCAACUUGCAACAGUGGUAGGAGUGGCCCAAGAAAACAGAUGCUCACGUGGGAUUCUGAAGCUGCCACCUGACUAGCCAGCUAGCAGUGAAGACCCUGAUCAUCAGAAGGAGGAGGGCUGCUCUAUAUAAUGGGACAGAGAAGAAUGUGACGGCAUCCUCCUGGUCCACUGGAGUGCCUCUUGACAUUUCCUUGCUCAUCUUGAUGAUAAAUGGAUAAACACAGCAGUAAUACUUAAGAAAAGCAUGGAGAUCAGGAGCUCAGAGGCCUCAGAAAUGAAGAUCUGGGUCUUGCCAACAGGAAAAGAGAUCCAACAGAAUCUUGGAGGAACUCUUCCCAGAAUUUAUAUGAAGUGGAUCUGAGUAGUGCAAAUGGUGGACCAUAGUGGAAGCUGUGAUGUGCCACUCUGUCUCCUUGAAGACUGAAGGACUUAUUCCUCCAGCUAUUCAGGGCACCAUUGGCUGACAGUCAUCAGAAAUUACUAUAGGCUGGAGAGUUCUGCCUUGCACAAAGUUCCCAUGCUUCCUUCCCCAGGGCAGCUCAGAUCUAAUAACUGGUCAAUAUGUAAUAUAAAGGCCCAAAUCCCUCAGCUUAUCUCAGGACAUUAAAGGACAUCAGAGCUUCAGGGUCCCCAGAGGGUUAGCCUAGCCUUUGCUGAGACCACACCACAGUGCAAUUUCUUCUACUGCUUCCUUCUCUCCCUUUCCACAGUGUUGAUCCUGGGAGUGCACCCUAUAAAAAUUUCUGCACACUGAUCUCCAUCCCAGAGUUUGCUUCCUGGGAACCCCACCCUACGACAAAAACAUUGGGACACCUGAUGAAAUUUGAAUAUGGACUCUUUUUUAAAUAAUGGGGUUGUACCAAUGUUAAAUUUCCUGAUUUUUGAUCAUAUAUUGUGUUUAUAUAAGAGAACGUUUUUGUUCUUAGGAAACACACUGACAAAAACAGGAAUAAAGGCACACAGUAUCUGCAACUUAAUUUCAAAUGAUUUAGAAAAAAAUUGUACAUGGAGAGGUGGAAGAUCAGACAAAAAGAAGAAAAUAGGGCUAAAUGGAAACAAUUGGCGAAUCUGGGUAAAAACUAUGGAGGUUAUUUAUACACUUCUUGCAACUUUUCUGUAAGUUUGAAUUUACAUCAAUAUUACAAAUUAUCAAAGUAAAAUGACCAGACCUCAUACCAUUCUCAGAGAUUCUGAUUCCCUUGGGUGCUAUUAUAUUUCCAGCACUCAGCUCCAGUCUGUAGGUAUUCAAUAAAUAUUUACUGAGUAAAUGAAUGAGUUAAUGAGUAACCUUGGAAGUUAAGAUAAUGAGUUCAGUUUUGGAUAUGGAGACCUUUGAGUGCCUGUGAGUCCUCUUUUGAAAGUCCACUCUAGGGACUGAAUAACCUUUUGCUCAAUUCUGAAGGUAACAAGUGAAGAUAUAACUCCUGUGUCCUUUUUUGAGACCAUUAUUCUCCCUAGCAUUUAGAAGUCUGAAGUCCCUAUGAGACCUUGUGUAAACAAUAUCUCAUCACUUUGGACCUAAUUUGAUUUUUAAAUGACAUAGUGACUGAGUAUUGACCUUAAAUGAUGGAGAAAUGACCUGACUUCUGUGGGCAUCCAAAUUUCUGUAUCCUGUUUUGACCACAGUACACAUAAUUAUCUUUCCUUUUUAUAUUUUUUUAGUUUUGAACUUUAGCCUAGCAAGUCGGAAGCAUAUCACAUUAAGGUGUUCUGGUAGAAGUUAACUCCAAAAGCAUGGCAUUUGUAAGUGGGCAAGAUGGACUAGCUAAUGAGUAGAUGGGAAAAAAAAAAAGUGGGGGGGGAACUCCAAGGAUUGUUACUGCCCUCCAGUGGUGGUGCUCUCAGAUACAGAUGGUUCAAAGCCCAUCAUUCAUCUCUGUUUUCCACUGCAAAGUCCCAAAUGCCAUUCAUUCAAGCUUAGGGACUAAACUGCAAUGCUAACUUGCCAGGAAAUUUGUAUUAUGGUUUUCUGAUUUUAAAGUAAUAAGUUCAGUUUGUCCUCUUGUGGUCCUGAAGAAGAUCAUAAGCUUCCAGAGCAACCACUUUACUCUGAGAGUGUAUUCAAUGUGGGGAGAAUCUGGCCCAUGAGAGCCCUUGUCUUGAUGACACCCCAAACCCCUGCCCUGUUCUCCCUAGCUCUGCCCAUUUACACACCCUGAUAGAGAGAGAGAACAUCACUGAUUCACCUUUCAGUCCCCACUGGACAUUUCCAAGUCAUUUUUUUUAUCUGUGAGCUGCUACAUUUUAACUGUGAGCUCCUAUAUUGACUAUUUCAGGGCCAGGGAAAUAAAAAACGGAAUUGGCUAAAGCCCAACUCAUUGAUUUUUAACCCAGCAAGAGCCUUUGCCUAUUGGAGAAAAAAAAAAAAAAUCACCAAAUUUAGAAUAAAAGAAAAAAAAUUGGCCCAAGCAUAUCAUGUAAGUUUUAUAUAAAGCACACUUUUUGGCCUUGACAAACACCAUCCAGUUUACACAAAGCUCAUAAAAGUGUUAAUGUUUCCUACUUUUAAAACUCACAUAUAGUGUUCUCUGUGCACUAACGAUGUGUCCUGUUAACCAAAGUUUGACCUUUCUGUGGUGUAAAUCCAAGCCCACACACCAGCUCGUCCAAUGCCAUAAUCUCUGGCAGUGAUGUCAUUCCUUGACACUAAAAACAAACACCACCCAGAUCUGUUUCCUUUCUCCUGCAGGUUUGUAGUCCAUUGUAGAGCUGCCAAUGGGUAGGGGCUCAGGAGACCACAGGGCUUUGCUUGUAUCUAGUGGCUUGAGCAGCUGGCUUCCAGGGACUGGCCCAGACCAAAAACCAAAAAGAAAACAAGAACAACAACAACAAAAACCCCAAACCACCUCCAGAGAAUGCUGUGCAAGCUCUGCUUAUAUAAUUCAUAAGGAUGUAAAGACCAAAGCGAACAGUUGGCAUCCAAUAAAAGGUCAAUAUAUAUUGUAUUUACUGGCAGAUAACUUAUGCCAGUUUUACAAGGAAAUUUGGUAGAUGGGAAUAUGGAGGAAAAAAUUGAAAUAGUUUUCAUCUUACCUGUUUUAAAGAGAUUUUUAAAGGAGUUCUGUAGAUAUAGUAUUCAAUAUACAGACGUCCAGUUGAAAAUCAUUGGUUUUGAUUAUGCAAGAAUAUUCUAUUAAUCCUGAAAGAAAAUAAAUUCACAUGGUUAAAGAGAAAUAUAUCAGUGGCAUUUGGUACUGAGUAGGCUAUAAAACAAAACAAAUUUACUGGUAAGUGAAAUCCCAUAUCCCACAUGGAAUUCUGUAUAAAUAGAUAUCAAUACACUCUUCCAACAAGUAAUGGAAACCAAAAGUUAAUAACAACAUGAGAUAAAUUUGAAUAAACUUUUACAAAAGCUAAGACAAAUCAACUAGCAAAACAGAAUACAUAAGAAGUUUCUUCUACAGUUGCAAAAGGAGUCAGUAAAAACUUGAUACAAAACACACAGCAAGAAAAUAAAUGUGAAAGAAUGCCCAUUUCACACUCAUACAUAUAGUAAAAGUAAAUAUUUCACUGGAUAUUAGUACAGUCAUCCCUCCGUAUCCAUGGGGGAUUGGUUCCAGGACACCCACAGAUGCUCAGACGCCUCAUACAUUGAUAAAAUGGCAUAGGACCAUUGGCCCUCCGUAUCUGCAGGUUCCAUAUCCCAGAGGAUUCAACUUUUGAAUCUUAGGAUGCAGAACCUGUGAUAUAGAGGGCCAACUGUAUACAGUAAACAGCAGAAAAAAAUUAAUGGAUUCUAGUGCAAACCCUUGACACUAGCAUCAUAGCAAUGCCUCCAUUGGCUCUUAGAUGGACAAUAUCCACUUUGCUCUGAUGUUGGUGUCUCCUUUUCACUAGGAGAUCUCAUUAUUGCUAUUGUCUUCCUGUUUUUUACUCCACCCUUCCUUACUUCCUCUCUACAUUGUUGGCUCUUUCAUCUUUAAUAUGGGUACAUUGGGGGAUGGGGUGGGGAGGAUGUAUGCUGCCAGAGCAAAUAAAGUAAAUCUGUGCUUCCUAGAUGCUAGGGCACUGCAUUUGACUGUUCUAUGCCUCCGAACUGAAGGCUUCCUAGACAAGCCCCUCUGGAAAUACAAUACACUCACGGUUUUAAUUUUGCACCAAUGAAUGUAUGUACUUAGAGUUGUACACUGUUUGAGAAGUCAAGUUAUAAUCUCCAGUAAUUGACUAACUUAGUU
Balaenoptera ricei (Rice's whale) is the source of this 4889-nucleotide long non-coding RNA. RefSeq lists it as uncharacterized. Lineage: Eukaryota; Metazoa; Chordata; Mammalia; Artiodactyla; Balaenopteridae. The record is from RefSeq and is a predicted model, not a curated record. The transcript is spliced from 4 exons.